Long non-coding RNA from Ictalurus punctatus (channel catfish), 1889 nucleotides. The record is from Ensembl. NCBI's taxonomy places the organism in Eukaryota, Metazoa, Chordata, Actinopteri, Siluriformes, Ictaluridae.
UGUAAAGUUGGUUGCUCAACUGUUUUGAAUUUUUUUAUUUUGAGUGAUUACCUCAAAAAAAAGAAUUUAAAUUUUAUUUUACUUGGUUUAACUACGACAGCCGUCUUUGUGUCGUGGCGCACAACAAAUUUUGGUUAUACAGCUGUUUAGGGAAACCUCAAUGUCUCGGCUCAGGCUGGUCCUAGCUCCAUGGAACAAAAACUGAUCUGUAGAGCACAAUACAAGAUGCAGCGCCCUCCAGUAAUAUUGGCACCCUUGGAAAAUAUGAGCAAAGAACGCUGUGAACAUUUGAUAUUUUGUUUAAAAAAUUCAUAAAAAUACUCUACUCUCGUGGAUAUCAAACAAUUGCAAGCAAGACACAGGUUUAUCAAAAAAAAAUCUUUGUUAAAUAUAGGUGUGCAACAAUUAUUGGCACCCUUUUAGUCAAUACUUUGUGCUACCUCCCUUUGCCAAGAUAACAGCUCUGUGUCUUCUCCUAUAACGCUGAUGAGGUUGGAGAAUACAUGGCGAGGGAUCUGAGAGCGUUCCUCCGUACAGAAUCUCUCCAGAUCCUUCACAUUUCGAUGUCCACGCUGGUGGACUCUCCUCUUCAGUUCACCCCACAGGUUCUCUAUGGGGUUCGGGUCAGGGGACGGGGAUGGUCAUGGCAGGACCUUGAUUUUCAAGGCUGAGAUCAGCUCAAACAGGAUGUUGAUAUAGAUCUGCUUUUAUACUCCAAUGGUUUGGAAAAGUGUAAAUACCCUACAUCCUGGACAGUGUGUGUGUGUGUGUUUGGGAUGUUCCAUAGAAAUAAAAGUUUAUUACAAAUAAAGGGAGAGCGGUGUACUGCACAUUCUCUUUCACUCUGAGCUGCAGGGUUUCAAGAUUUAAACAUGGUGCUGCAGAGUGAGACAGUGAGAGUCAAAAAGAGAGUGUGAGAGACAGGGAGAGACUGGGAGAGACAGUGAGAAACUGGGAGAGACUGAGAGAGACUGAGAGAGACAGUGAGAGACAGUGAGAGACUGGGAGAGACAGUGAGAGACAGUGAGAGACUGGGAGAGACUGGGAGAGACAGUGACAGACUGGGAGAGACUGAGAGAGACAGUGAGAGACAGUGAGAGACAGUGAGAGACAGUGACAGACAGGGAGAGACAGUGAGAGACAGUGACAGACUGGGAGAGACAGGGAGAGACUGGGAGAGACUGAGAGAGACAGUGAGAGACUGGGAGAGGCUGAGAGAGACAGUGAGAGACAGUGAGAGACAGUGAGAGACAGGGAGAGACAGUGAGAGACAGUGAGAGACAGGGAGAGACAGUGACAGACUGGGAGAGACUGAGAGAGACAGUGAGAGACAGUGAGAGACAGUGAGAGACAGUGACAGACUGGGAGAGACAGUGAGAGACUGGGAGAGACAGUGAGAGACUGGGAGAGACUGGGAGAGACUGGGAGAGACAGUGAGAGACUGAGAGAGACAGUGACAGACUGGGAGAGACAGUGAGAGACUGGGAGAGACAGUGAGAGACAGUGAGAGACAGUGAGAGACAGUGAGAGACUGGGAGAGACAGUGAGAGACUGGGAGAGACAGUGAGAGACAGUGAGAGACUGAGAGAGACAGUGAGAGACAGUGAAAGACUGGGAGAGACAGUGAGAGACUGGGAGAGACUGAGAGAGACUGGGAGAGAUUGGGAGAGACAGCAUGAUACAAAGAGAGAGAAAGUGUGACAGCAUGUGACAGUGACAGAAAGAGUGUGAGAGACAGAGUGAGACAGGGAGAGAUAGCACUGGACAGCGAGAGACAGCGUGAGAUAGAGUGAGACAACAAAAGACAGAAAAAGACAGAAAAAAUGGUGAGAGACCUUCUUUUUUUUUACAUAUUUGGACAAGCAAACAUUUGAUCCUCUUUGAAACAG